This 253-nucleotide ribosomal RNA is filed under the name uncultured bacterium. RNAcentral's name for it is "partial 16S ribosomal RNA". It matches the Rfam family "Bacterial small subunit ribosomal RNA", at positions 524 to 776 of the family's 1533-position model. The record is from RNAcentral.
GACAGAGGGGGCAAGCGUUGCUCGGAAUUACUGGGCGUAAAGGGCGCGUAGGCGGGAUGGCAAGUCGGUCGUGAAAUCCUUCGGCUCAACCGAAGAACGUCGAUCGAUACUGCUGUUCUUGAGGAUUGCAGAGGAGACUGGAAUUCCCGGUGUAGCGGUGAAAUGUGUAGAGAUCGGGAGGAACACCGGUGGCGAAGGCGGGUCUCUGGGCAAUUCCUGACGCUGAGGCGCGAAAGCGUGGGGAGCAAACGGG